UACGUAGGGUGCGAGCGUUAAUCGGAAUUACUGGGCGUAAAGCGUGCGCAGGCGGUUUUGUAAGCCAGAUGUGAAAUCCCCGGGCUUAACCUGGGAAUAGCAUUUGGGACUGCAAGGCUUGAGUGCGGCAGAGGAGACUGGAAUUCCUGGUGUAGCAGUGAAAUGCGUAGAUAUCAGGAGGAACACCGAUGGCGAAGGCAGGUCUCUGGGCUGACACUGACGCUCAUGCACGAAAGCGUGGGGAGCAAACAGG
RNAcentral lists this ribosomal RNA (253 nucleotides) under uncultured bacterium. Its description in RNAcentral is "partial 16S ribosomal RNA". It matches the Rfam family "Bacterial small subunit ribosomal RNA", at positions 524 to 776 of the family's 1533-position model. The record is from RNAcentral.